Molecule: long non-coding RNA, 1165 nt
Filed under: Anas platyrhynchos platyrhynchos (common mallard)
Lineage: Eukaryota; Metazoa; Chordata; Aves; Anseriformes; Anatidae
Description: lncRNA (ENSAPLG00000029988.1)
Source: RNAcentral
GCGAGCUCGUCUCGACGACAGCAGCAAACGCCACUGGUGACAGUGAGUCACUGAGCUGAGGGGAGAGAAAAUUCCAUUUAUACUCCCCAAAUCUAUUUUUCCAGGUUCUCCCUGCACUGCUAACUUUCUCCUCCUGUAAAUUCUUUACCCACGCGAGCCCACCCGGCUCAGCUCUGCCCCACGGCCCCCGCUCCCCAAAAGGGCUCCGCAGCCCCCUCUGUGCCGCGGUGCAGCAGCCACCUGAGCGCACACAGCCCCGGGGGUUCAGCUCGCUGCCCACCAGCCUUUUCCCCCAGCGCUGUGGGAAGUAUUUCACCAGCCACCUGCCCUGGGGGGCUUCCCAGGGGGAGCAGAGCCACCAGCAAGCGGCUGGGGGGGGACAGCGGGGAGAGCGCAGGGCGCGCACCGACCACCGCCUCCCGGUGCCUUCCUCCCCAGCGCGCUGCCCGGCGCUCCCCAGCGAUGCCUCCGAGUACGAAACAGAAAUAAACCGGGCGGGGAGCCGGCCUCCGAGUGCUUCCCCACGCGGAGAAAUCCCUGCUCUGAGAGCCCCACGCGGUUCCUUCCCGCGGGAGGUGCGGGGAGGUGGCGGCGUCCCCCCGUCCCCUACGUCGGGGCCACCGGGCGGGCACCGGGCGCGUCCCGUCGGGGCUGGCGGCCACCGGGGCGGGACGCGGCGGGGCUCGGGGAUCCCGAGGAGGGCAGCGCCGCUCCCUGCCGGCUCCGGGAGACACCCGGAGGGGGGAGACUCCCGGUGCCCGUCCCGUCGGGGCAGCCCCAUCCCCGCGUCCCCGGCUCCUCCGCAGGUGUCGGGCGGGCAGCCCGCAUCCCCCGGCCGGAGCACGGAGCCUUCGCGGCUCCCUGAGCGCUGCUCACCUGCCUCCGAGACAAUGCCGAGCCAGAGCCAGAGGGGCAGCGUGCAAACUCUCUUCAUCUCCGGGGCUGCGGGCAGGCGGUGCGGUGCGGAGCGGUGCGGAGCGCCCCGCGCCCGAGCUCUGCUCCCGCCGCGCCCCAGCUGCGGCGACGCGCGGCGGCGGGCGGGGAGGGAGCACCGGGGCCGUUUCCUUUUCCUCCGCCCGCCCGGGCCGCCCGCCGCCCUCCGCCGAGCCCGCGGGGCGCCGGGCGGGCGGCGGGGCGGAGCGGGGCGGGGCGGGGUGGGAGGCGG